RNAcentral lists this ribosomal RNA (467 nucleotides) under uncultured bacterium. RNAcentral describes it as "partial 16S ribosomal RNA". It matches the Rfam family "Bacterial small subunit ribosomal RNA", at positions 28 to 506 of the family's 1533-position model. The record is from RNAcentral.
GAUGAACGCUGGCGGCGUGCUUAACACAUGCAAGUCGAACGGUGAAGGCGGAGCUUGCUCUGCUGGAUCAGUGGCGAACGGGUGAGUAACACGUGAGCAAUCUGCCCCUGACUCUGGGAUAAGCGCUGGAAACGGCGUCUAAUACUGGAUACGAGCUGCGAAGGCAUCUUCAGCAGCUGGAAAGAACUUCGGUAAGGGAUGAGCUCGCGGCCUAUCAGCUUGUUGGUGAGGUAACGGCUCACCAAGGCGUCGACGGGUAGCCGGCCUGAGAGGGUGACCGGCCACACUGGGACUGAGACACGGCCCAGACUCCUACGGGAGGCAGCAGUGGGGAAUAUUGCACAAUGGGCGAAAGCCUGAUGCAGCAACGCCGCGUGAGGGACGACGGCCUUCGGGUGGUAAACCUCUUUUAGCAGGGAAGAAGCGAAAGUGACGGUACCUGCAGAAAAAGCGCCGGCUAACUACGU